ACUUAUAAGUUUUUUACUUUAUUUAUUUUUAGGUUUGUGUGCCUUUUGCAUCAUGCUUAGGCGAGAGUUGUUAGUAUAUUCUUCAUACCGAAAACUGCGGAUCUUGUAUUUUACUGUUAUGUUAGGUGUCGGGUAGAUUCUUUAUAGAUAGAGUGCACGUUGUGAUAAAUUAGUCGGCGCAGUUUAUAGCUGUUUAAUGGUUUUAAAUUUAUUACUAUAUUAUUUGGCGAAGAUGUCAAAUAGUUUAAUAUACUGUGAUUUUGAGUAGGAACAAUAGGGUUAAAAGUACCCCUUUGUUAUAAAAGUGUUACAACUUUUCUUAAUUUUGUACUUAGUUAUUAGGUUAAACCAUUUUUGAAACAUGCUGUAUAUUAUGUAUGCUUAAAUAAGUAAUAUUAACAUUAACGUUGUUUCUCAAGUCUUGCCCGUCUGUUUAUUAAAAACAUUUCUAUAAAAAAUUUUUUAUAGUAGUGCCUGCUCUAUGUGUUUAUAAAUGGCCGCAGUAUCUUGACUGUGCGAAGGUAGCAUAAUUAAUUGCCUUAUAAUUGAGGGCUUGUCUGAAUGGUUUGACGUGGUAAGUACAAACAUCGUUAAUCUUUUUGAAAUUAUUUUAGAGGGCACAGAAACCUCUGAGAUUAACUAGACGGAAAGACCCCGGGAUCUUUCGUUUUUGCCUGGGGCAGGUUAAAAUUUUUCAUUUUUAUUAUGACCCUUUUAAUAGGUUUGGUGAGUUAAGUUACCCCGGGGAUAACAGUAUAAUAGUUUAGUAGAGAUCUUAUCGAAUAAACUGCUUGUUACCUCGAUGUUGACUUAGGCUUUAGUUUGUGCGCAGUAGUUCAAGCUUUAGGUCUGUUCGACCUUAUAGCCUCCAUGAGUUGAGUUAAGACCGGCGUGAGCCAGGUCGGUUCUUAUCUGUUACUCUAGCUUACUAGUACGAAAGGAUUGUAAGCUUUUUAAUU
Molecule: ribosomal RNA, 959 nt
Filed under: Rhinebothrium scobinae
Lineage: Eukaryota; Metazoa; Platyhelminthes; Cestoda; Rhinebothriidea; Rhinebothriidae
Description: 16S ribosomal RNA
Rfam family: Bacterial large subunit ribosomal RNA (bases 614-959)
Source: RNAcentral